RNAcentral lists this ribosomal RNA (253 nucleotides) under uncultured bacterium. Its description in RNAcentral is "partial 16S ribosomal RNA". It matches the Rfam family "Bacterial small subunit ribosomal RNA", at positions 524 to 776 of the family's 1533-position model. The record is from RNAcentral.
UACGGGGGGGGCAAGCGUUGUUCGGAAUUACUGGGCGUAAAGGGCUCGUAGGUGGCCAACUAAGUCGGACGUGAAAGCCCUCGGCUCAACCGAGGAAUUGCGCUCCAAACUACCGUGCUUGAGGAAGCUAGAGGUGAGCAGAACUGAUGGUGGAGCGGUGAAAUGCGUUGAUAUCAUCAGGAAUACCGGAGGCGAAGGCGGCUACCUGGACAAUUGCUGACGCUCAGGCACGAAAGCGUGGGGAGCAAAAGGG